RNAcentral lists this ribosomal RNA (497 nucleotides) under uncultured bacterium. RNAcentral describes it as "partial 16S ribosomal RNA". It matches the Rfam family "Bacterial small subunit ribosomal RNA", at positions 28 to 507 of the family's 1533-position model. The record is from RNAcentral.
GAUGAACGCUGGCGGCGUGCCUAAUACAUGCAAGUCGAGCGAACGGACGAGAAGCUUGCUUCUCUGAUGUUAGCGGCGGACGGGUGAGUAACACGUGGAUAACCUACCUAUAAGACUGGGAUAACUUCGGGAAACCGUAGCUAAUACCGGAUAAUAUUUUGAACCGCAUGGUUCAAAAGUGAAAGACGGUCUUGCUGUCACUUAUAGAUGGAUCCGCGCUGCAUUAGCUAGUUGGUAAGGUAACGGCUUACCAAGGCAACGAUGCACAGCCGACCUGAGAGGGUGAUCGGCCACACUGGAACUGAGACACGGUCCAGACUCCUACGGGAGGCAGCAGUAGGGAAUCUUCCGCAAAGGGCGAAAGCCUGACGGAGCAACGCCGCGUGAGUGAUGAAGGUCUUCGGAUCGUAAAACUCUGUUAUUAGGGAAGAACAUAUGUGUAAGUAACUGUGCACAUCUUGACGGUACCUAAUCAGAAAGCCACGGCUAACUACGUG